ACGCACGCUGGCGGCGUGCUUAACACAUGCAAGUCGAACGGAAAGGCCCUGCUUUUGUGGGGUGCUCGAGUGGCGAACGGGUGAGUAACACGUGAGUAACCUGCCCUUGACUUUGGGAUAACUUCAGGAAACUGGGGCUAAUACCGGAUAGGAGCUCCUGCUGCAUGGUGGGGGUUGGAAAGUUUCGGCGGUUGGGGAUGGACUCGCGGCUUAUCAGCUUGUCGGUGGGGUAGUGGCUUACCAAGGCUUUGACGGGUAGCCGGCCUGAGAGGGUGACCGGCCACAUUGGGACUGAGAUACGGCCCAGACUCCUACGGGAGGCAGCAGUGGGGAAUAUUGCACAAUGGGCGGAAGCCUGAUGCAGCAACGCCGCGUGCGGGAUGACGGCCUUCGGGUUGUAAACCGCUUUCGCCUGUGACGAAGCGUGAGUGACGGUAAUGGGUAAAGAAGCACCGGCUAACUACGUG
This 467-nucleotide ribosomal RNA is filed under the name uncultured bacterium. RNAcentral describes it as "partial 16S ribosomal RNA". It matches the Rfam family "Bacterial small subunit ribosomal RNA", at positions 29 to 507 of the family's 1533-position model. The record is from RNAcentral.